UGUAAGCGUAUACCAGAGUUGUUGCAGUUAAAACGCUCGUAGUCGGAAUUUGGCAGUUCCGGAUGUGUGCACGUCGUGUGCGCACUUUGCGGGGACUGCUUUUGUGGUCUUGCGUAGGAUGAGGCACUUUCAUUAGUGAACGUCCUCACGCAACCACUCUUUACUGUGAGAAAAUCAGAGUGCUCAAAGCAGGCAUUUGCCGUGAAUGUAUUAGCAUGGAAUAAUAGAAUAGGACUCGGUUCUAUUUUGUUGGUUUGUUGGGACUGAGUAAUGAUUAAGAGGGACAGUUGGGGGCAUUUGUAUUCCGGCGCUAGAGGUGAAAUUCUUAGAUUGCCGGAAGACAAACUGCUGCGAAAGCGUCUGCCAAGGAUGUUUUCAUUGA
RNAcentral lists this ribosomal RNA (382 nucleotides) under uncultured eukaryote. RNAcentral's name for it is "partial 18S ribosomal RNA". It matches the Rfam family "Eukaryotic small subunit ribosomal RNA", at positions 592 to 976 of the family's 1831-position model. The record is from RNAcentral.